RNAcentral lists this ribosomal RNA (478 nucleotides) under uncultured anaerobic ammonium-oxidizing bacterium. RNAcentral's name for it is "bacterial SSU rRNA". It matches the Rfam family "Bacterial small subunit ribosomal RNA", at positions 364 to 833 of the family's 1533-position model. The record is from RNAcentral.
UUUCGCAAUGCCCGAAAGGGUGACGAAGCGACGCCGCGUGAGUGAGGAAGGCCUUCGGGUUGUAAAGCUCUGUCAGGAGUUAAGAAAUAUAAGUGUGCUAAUACCACAUUUAUUUGACGAAGGCUCCAAAGGAAGCCACGGCUAACUCUGUGCCAGCAGCCGCGGUAAUACAGAGGUGGCAAGCGUUGUUCGGAAUUAUUGGGCGUAAAGAGCACGUAGGUGGGUUUGUAAGUCAGAUGUGAAAGCCUUCUGUUCAACGGAAGAAUUGCAUCUGAAACUGCGAGUCUUGAGUGUAGGAGGGGAGAAUGGAACUUCUGGUGGAGCGGUGAAAUGCGUAGAUAUCAGAAGGAACGCCGGCGGCGAAAGCGAUUCUCUGGCCUAUUACUGACACUGAGGUGCGAAAGUUAGGGGAGCAAACGGGAUUAGAUACCCCGGUAGUCCUAACCGUAAACGAUGGGCACUAAGUAGAGGGGUUUUA